GCGUUUCAUCUGAGCACAAUAGCACUGUGCCCUGACAAAGGUCUUACAGGUUUUAAUUCCACGGAAGGAAACACCGUCCAUCUCUCAGGCCUGUCUCUCAGGCAGCACUACCUCGGAAGGAGUGGAUUCUUUCCAGCCAGUCUGUCCCUGGACUCCAAGGCUUUUUGUUUGCACAAAAUGGAGUUUGAUGAAGAGGCUUCCCUUGGUGGGAAUGGAACACCAGGAAGAGGCCAGAACCCACCCAGGGUGAAGUGACAAGCGAGGAGACAGACAUGAAGAUGGAAAUGGCACUGGGUGGCUAGCGGAGGCACAGGCCAGGACAGGCAGGAAGCAAUGGAAUGACUUUCUGGGCUGAACAGGUGGACAGCCAUGAUGGUGGUGGCUCCAGGUUCCAGGCAUAAGGGCCAUGACACCUCUGACAGCAUGUACCGCCUGUGUGUGUUCCCUUGUUCAUGGCCUUCACCAGCCCAACAAGGGCACCCUACCACCUCCUUCUUUGUCCCCAGAAAUGGUCACACCAAACAAUGUU
Long non-coding RNA from Alexandromys fortis (reed vole), 529 nucleotides. RefSeq lists it as uncharacterized. The transcript has 3 exons. The record is from RefSeq and is a predicted model, not a curated record. NCBI's taxonomy places the organism in Eukaryota, Metazoa, Chordata, Mammalia, Rodentia, Cricetidae.